Molecule: ribosomal RNA, 486 nt
Filed under: uncultured bacterium
Lineage: Bacteria
Description: partial 16S ribosomal RNA
Rfam family: Bacterial small subunit ribosomal RNA
Source: RNAcentral
AUUGAACGCUGGCGGCAUGCCUUACACAUGCAAGUCGAACGGCAGCACGGGUGCUUGCACCUGGUGGCGAGUGGCGAACGGGUGGGUAAUACAUCGGAACAUGUCCUGUAGUGGGGGAUAGCCCGGCGAAAGCCGGAUUAAUACCGCAUACGAUCUACGGAUGAAAGCGGGGGACCUUCGGGCCUCGCGCUAUAGGGUUGGCCGAUGGCUGAUUAGCUAGUUGGUGGGGUAAAGGCCUACCAAGGCGACGAUCAGUAGCUGGUCUGAGAGGACGACCAGCCACACUGGGACUGAGACACGGCCCAGACUCCUACGGGAGGCAGCAGUGGGGAAUUUUGGACAAUGGGCGAAAGCCUGAUCCAGCAAUGCCGCGUGUGUGAAGAAGGCCUUCGGGUUGUAAAGCACUUUUGUCCGGAAAGAAAUCCUUGGCUCUAAUACAGCCGGGGGAUGACGGUACCGGAAGAAUAAGCACCGGCUAACUACGUG